Odocoileus virginianus texanus is the source of this 1238-nucleotide non-coding RNA. NCBI's taxonomy places the organism in Eukaryota, Metazoa, Chordata, Mammalia, Artiodactyla, Cervidae. The record is from RefSeq and is a predicted model, not a curated record.
AGAAGGAAAAAAGAAAAAAGAAUUUCCCUGAGCUUCUGAGAAGGAAAACUUUGGACAUCAGUUGGAAAUUGCCAUUUAUCUGGUGUGGAUGGUAUGUGUGACCCAAAUGUGCCAUGUGACGGUUUUAGGAGGUCUGUGUCCUCACCAUUAUCUUUUCUGAAUGGAAUUCUCCUAGAUCCUCAGGCACGUUACAGCUUUAUUGACUGACAUUCUGUUACCCACAUGUGCUUGGGUUUUAUCUGUUCUUCCUAUGGGCUCCCCAAAUCCAGAGGAGACUGGAAAAAUCUUUAUGAGAUGGAAACAUACUGUUCUGUAGUCUUCCUGUGACUCUAAUUUGUUUUCCCGAAGGCUCAUCAAGUGAGAUGUAAAGGACAGCCAACAUAAAUAUCAUUUAUUGAAUGAGGCAGCAAAGGUAAAAUCUGUUGAAACAGCAUGUUCCUCGGUGUCCAUCAAGCCUGUGCAUGGCAGAGUGAGAAGAUGAGGCUGCUAAGGUUCUGGAAAGCCCAGCUGUGAGAUACAGUAAGUUCAAGAUGUCAGAGGCCAGGCCGCCUCCCCUUCUCGGGCAGCACACGACGCACAUCCUGAAGGAGGUCCUCCGAUACGAUGACAGGGCCAUCAGGGAGCUGCUCAACACUGGAGUGGUGACCCAACAUGAGGUUGAGUGACAAAGGAAAAAUGCUUUGCUGCAAAAUCACAUCUGAAUGCAUUUUGCCAGUGAAGAUAAAACAGCCUUUCUGGACCCUUCUCCCCAAAUCUGGUGCCUGCCACUGAAGAGUUAGAGGAAUUCCAGAUUUCCUGCCUGGCGUCUCCAGAAUGGCUCUGGUAUCAGUGAAUCUAGUGCUUUCUAAAUGUACCCCACCUUUCAUUCCUCACUGUUUUCCCCCAGAUAAUAGAUUAAUUGCAGAUUUUUCUUUUUUUUUUUUUUGGUGAAGAUUUUUUUUUCUGGAAAAAUGCAUUCCUCAUUCUAAUUACGUUAAUAGCCUAAACGUUUGCCCCUCCAGCCCACGCAGGUCUGAAAAAGAGCAGAUCUCUUGAUGUUCUUUACUUGCACAUAAAGUCCUCAUUUAAACCUUUGUUAGGAAGUCAAAGCAAUAAGCAGAAUGACAGUCUCGGUGAUUGAUUUUAAACAGAAUAACUUAAUUUGAGCUCAUGAACCCUUUGUUAAUCUGUAAUUUAAACCGUGGAAUUUGUUAAUGUCCCUUAUAAAACUGAACUUCAUUCUCCCCUGUGGGGGUAAA